This 467-nucleotide ribosomal RNA is filed under the name uncultured bacterium. Its description in RNAcentral is "partial 16S ribosomal RNA". It matches the Rfam family "Bacterial small subunit ribosomal RNA", at positions 29 to 507 of the family's 1533-position model. The record is from RNAcentral.
ACGAACGCUGGCGGCGUGCUUAACACAUGCAAGUCGAACGGAAAGGCCCUGCUUUUGUGGGGUGCUCGAGUGGCGAACGGGUGAGUAACACGUGAGUAACCUGCCCUUGACUUUGGGAUAACUUCAGGAAACUGGGGCUAAUACCGGAUAGGAGCUCCUGCUGCAUGGUGGGGGUUGGAAAGUUUCGGCGGUUGGGGAUGGACUCGCGGCUUAUCAGCUUGUUGGUGGGGUAGUGGCUUACCAAGGCUUUGACGGGUAGCCGGCCUGAGAGGGUGACCGGCCACAUUGGGACUGAGAUACGGCCCAGACUCCUCCGUGACGCAGCAGUGGGGAAUAUUGCACAAUGGGCGGCAGCCUGAUGCAGCACCGCCGCGUGCGGGAUGACGGCCUUCGGGUUGUAAACCGCUUUCGCCUGUGACGAAGCGUGAGUGACGGUAAUGGGUAAAGAAGCACCGGCUAACUACGUG